GACGAACCGAGCGAACGUUGUUCGGAAUCACUGGGCUUAAAGGGCGCGUAGGCGGGCCGCCGCGUCCGGGGUGAAAUCCUCCCGCUCAACGGGAGAACGGCCUCGGAUACGGGCGGCCUGGAGGGGGGUAGGGGCGUGCGGAACUGUGGGUGGAGCGGUGAAAUGCGUUGAUAUCCACAGGAACUCCGGUGGCGAAGGCGGCACGCUGGUCCGGUACUGACGCUGAGACGCGAAAGCGUGGGGAGCGAACAGG
This 253-nucleotide ribosomal RNA is filed under the name uncultured bacterium. RNAcentral describes it as "partial 16S ribosomal RNA". It matches the Rfam family "Bacterial small subunit ribosomal RNA", at positions 524 to 776 of the family's 1533-position model. The record is from RNAcentral.